Molecule: signal recognition particle RNA, 148 nt
Filed under: Chlorocebus sabaeus (green monkey)
Lineage: Eukaryota; Metazoa; Chordata; Mammalia; Primates; Cercopithecidae
Description: Metazoan signal recognition particle RNA
Rfam family: MIR1846 microRNA precursor family (bases 46-148)
Source: Rfam by way of RNAcentral
GCCGGGCACGGUGGCUCAAGCCUGUAAUCCCAGCACUUUGGGAGGCCGAGACGGGCGGAUCACGAGGUCAGGAGAUCGAGACCAUCCUGGCUAACANUGUUAGCCAGGAUGGUCUCGAUCUCCUGACCUCGUGAUCCGCCCGUCUCGG